This is a non-coding RNA of Peromyscus maniculatus bairdii (prairie deer mouse), 543 nucleotides long. NCBI's taxonomy places the organism in Eukaryota, Metazoa, Chordata, Mammalia, Rodentia, Cricetidae. The record is from RefSeq and is a predicted model, not a curated record.
GCCAAGAGAAAACAGAUGUCUCCAUGUCACACGCAGAGUACUCAUUUGGGCUGUUCCAGAGUCUGGAGGAACAGCUUUGGACGUGAACAGUAAACAUAAACAAGAAGCAGCGGUGGCCCUGGAGCCCCACGGUGGGACUGUCCCACACCUGUAGAAUCUAGCUGCUGAGAGCUCUUGCAAGCUGCCUAUGCACCUGGGAGGGAGCCAAGAGCAUGCCCUCCUUUGGAGCAACUGGAUAAGGCCUUCUUGAAUCCCACUUGAUUUCCCACAUACAGAGAGAAGGAGGCUUGGAGAAGCUAUGUCUGCACAGCUUGAAAAAGUGAUGGAUGGAGAUAGACCGUCUCGCUCAGCCUACCCAAAACCUGCACAUGAAAAUCUUUGGUGCCUGGGAUGUGAGUGACUGGUGCUGGGCUACUGUACCAGUGACGUGAGGAAAAACCAAGAGAAGUGCAAAAACCUGAGUUCUGAGCUGUGGAGGCAAUGCUGGGGAGCCUUUGUCUCCUGUUAUGGGAAGAACAGAAAUACAGGAUUUGUUUAUAUCAG